This 482-nucleotide ribosomal RNA is filed under the name uncultured bacterium. RNAcentral describes it as "partial 16S ribosomal RNA". It matches the Rfam family "Bacterial small subunit ribosomal RNA", at positions 30 to 507 of the family's 1533-position model. The record is from RNAcentral.
AUUGAACGCUGGCGGCAUGCCUUGCACAUGCAAGUCGAACGGUAACGGGCCUUCGGGUGCCGACGAGUGGCGAACGGGUGAGUAAUACAUCGGAACGUGCCCGAUCGUGGGGGAUAACGAGGCGAAAGCUUUGCUAAUACCGCAUACGAUCUACGGAUGAAAGCAGAGGACCGCAAGGCCUUGCGCGGACGGAGCGGCCGAUGGCAGAUUAGGUAGUUGGUGGGAUAAAAGCUUACCAAGCCGACGAUCUGUAGCUGGUCUGAGAGGAUGAUCAGCCACACUGGGACUGAGACACGGCCCAGACUCCUACGGGAGGCAGCAGUGGGGAAUUUUGGACAAUGGGCGCAAGCCUGAUCCAGCCAUGCCGCGUGCAGGAUGAAGGCCUUCGGGUUGUAAACUGCUUUUGUACGGAACGAAAAGCCUUCUUUUAAUACAGGAGGGUCAUGACGGUACCGUAAGAAUAAGCACCGGCUAACUACGUG